AUUCCCCUACAAAAAUUCCCAUAUCUCUUUUAAAUAUUUUAAUGAAAAUGACUAAUACAUUUUCCUCUUUCCUGUUGCCACAUCAGUCUGCUCAAGGACGCGCAGUAAGAUGUCAAUGUAAUCACCAGAGGGCCCCAUCUUUGAUUCAACAAAGCGACAGGAUGUCAGAGAGAAGAGGGCAACAAGGCAAUGACAAGGCUACCCAAACAUACUGGAGACCACCAAGCAACCCUGGCGUGUUACCCACCCCCUUGCUGUCCCCGUGGCAGGCACAGCACCAAGGCUUGACCCGUACCAGCAUGCCCCAGCGCAGGCAGACCUCAAAUACUACAGUCUUUACACCCCAACGAGGACCUCCACCAGGGAAGACUAAUAAGAGCUCGCCCCACCGCGGCCCACAGUAGCUUCAGAAGAUGUAAAUCAGAGGAACCAGCCUAUGAAGGUGCUGACCAACCUUUUAAAGGUCUUUUUCCAGAUGAGUCUAGGCCAGUAGAUCCUGGCGAGGGGAAUCGUUCCUGUAGCACCGCGUUACGCAACCCAGUUUCUGGGACUCCACGGGGGAUAAGUGCGAGAGAUGGUCCAGUAUCAGCAGCUCCGUCUGCAGCACAGCAGGAGUGGAGAAUCCCCGCUGUGACACUAAAGAACACUGUCACCCCUCCAGCUGCUGGUUCCACUUGCUACGACACGCUGCCGCCGAUUCGACUUCACAAGCGCAUGCCUCUUCCUACAUCCAAACCAGGGGGCACUGGUGGCUUUGCUUUGCCGAAGCCGAGGUCUUCCCCAGUAUUGCUGGCAAACCAGUCUAAGCUGCUUCCGCCUCCAACUAAAGGCCUUCCCUGCUUUAACAGCAGGCCGCAGGUGCAGGCCCCCAGUGCUUCGUACUUUGUUGCUUCAGCCUCACAGAACUUCAGAGACUUGCAGGGAUACACAAGGAAGAAAGCAGCCAGAGAACAUUCAAACAACUCGUGUCAGCCACAGCCUGGAUCCCCUUAAGCAGCUCACGCCUCCUCAAGCCAAAGAAUCCCUGCGGAGGUGAAAUUUGUUCAUGAGCACAAAGCUAAAGUUACUCCAAUGUUGACAACAGUCCUUUUUUUUUUUUAUUUAUUUUUUUUUCUCUUGGUAGGUUUUCUUUUUGAGUUGUAACAGAACUAGCUCUAAGUACAGUAUAGGCUGGUACACUGCACUUGUUGAUGUAUUGGUAAACAGCUUAAACGGGAUGCAUUAUUUGUUUUUGUAUGACUCACACAACUCCAUUAGAUACAGAUUGCGUUAUUUAUUAAACACAGUUCAGUUUCUACAGUCCCAUGAGACAUAGACACAUUUAUACUGCUGUCAGAGGGAAAACCAGUAAAUGGCAUAUGGAGAGGGUGAAGAUGGAUAAAUGGCACCAGAAUUAUAAUACUGAAAUUAAAAUCAGUAAAUAAAGAAUAAAAACAGCACUACGUAAAAUAAUGA
RNAcentral lists this long non-coding RNA (1455 nucleotides) under Gouania willdenowi (blunt-snouted clingfish). RNAcentral's name for it is "lncRNA (ENSGWIG00000023942.1)". The record is from RNAcentral. Lineage: Eukaryota; Metazoa; Chordata; Actinopteri; Blenniiformes; Gobiesocidae.